RNAcentral lists this ribosomal RNA (561 nucleotides) under Triticum aestivum (bread wheat). RNAcentral's name for it is "partial small subunit ribosomal RNA". Lineage: Eukaryota; Viridiplantae; Streptophyta; Magnoliopsida; Poales; Poaceae. The record is from RNAcentral.
AAUAUUGAACGUGAACUUCAGAUAUGGAGUAUUGGUUCUCCUGAUCCUAACUUCACAUUAGAUGGCCACUCAAAAGGCGUGAACUGUGUUGAUUAAUUCACCGGUGGUUAUCGACCAUUUUUAAUUACUGGAUCUGAUGAUCAAACUGCAAAGGUUUGGGAUUACCAAACCAAGAGCUGUGUUCAAACACUUGAAGGAUAUGCACACAAUGUGCCCAUUGUCUGUUUCCAUCCAGAACUACCUACUAUAAUUACUGGCUCAGAGGAUGGCACCAUUCGGUUGUGGCACUCUACAACCUACAGGCUUGAGAACACUCUUAAUUAUGGUCUUGAGCGAGUUUGGGCUUUAGGAUACAUGAAGGGGUCACGAAGGAUUGUGAUUGGAUACGAUGAAGGGACAAUUAUGAUAAAAGGCUGUGAAGUUCCGGUUGUUAGCAUGGAAAACAAUGGAAAAAUCAUAUGGGCAAAACAUAACGAAAUCCAAACUGUUAAUAUCAAGGAUGUUGGUGCAGGCAAUAAGGUUCUUCUUCUUUGCCAUGUUAAUGUGUUGAAGGCUUGUUAA